AUGUUGAGAUCCCACACUUAUACUGGGGUCCCACACCCAUACUGGAGUCCCAUGUCAGCAUCCUGCACCCACCCUGAGGCCAGGCACCCAAACCAGGGUCCUACUGCACCCACACCGGGGUGCUGCACCCAUGCUGGGGGUCCUGCACCCACUCGGAGACCCUCCACUCACGCCAAGACUCUGCAUCCAUGCUGGGGGUCUCACAUCCAUAGGUUGAGGCCAUGCACCCAUGCCAGGGUCCUGUACCCCCACGUUGGGGUGCUACACACAUGCCAAGGUCCCGUGCCUUCACCGAGGUCCUGCACCCAUGGCCAAGACCCUGUACCCGUACUGGUGGCCCAUGCUUAUACUGGGGUCCUACACCCUUACUGGGGUCCCACACCCGUGCCAAGGCCAGGCAACCCAAACCAGGGUCCUCCUGCACCUACGCUGAGGUUCCUGCACCCACACCAAGACCCUGCACCCAUGCCAGGGUCCCACAUCCAUGCCGGUGUCCUGCACCCACUUGGAGACCCUUCAACCCACGCCAAGACUGCACCCAUGCUGGGGUCCUACACCCAUGCUGAGACCCUGGUGCCACUGCCGCCAUGCACCCCGUCUACUACGUCCAUGCCGAGGGGAAGGUGGUGGAGCUCUGGCACCCCGUCCGUGGCUGGUAGGAAGGAGAGCGAGGAGCUUCUGGGGUGCUGUGCCCCACGUUGGGGUGUUAUGCCCCACGUUGGGGUGCUGCACCCACACCAAGACCCUGCACCGAUGCCAAAACCCUGCACCCAUGCCAAGAUCCUGUACCUGCACCAACGUCCUCCACCCACACCAAGAGCCUGCACCCAUUCCUGGGUCCCACACCAGCAUCCUGCACCCACGCUGAGGCCAGGCACCCAAACCAGGGUCCUGCACCCACGGCAGGGUGCUACACCCAAGCUGGGGUCCCACACCCAUGCCAGGUGGCCAAGGUCCUCUACCCAUGUCAAGGUGAUGCACCCACACCAAGGUUCUGCGCCUAUGCUGGUGUCCCAUCACCCAUGUUGA
This 1029-nucleotide long non-coding RNA is filed under the name Calidris pugnax (ruff). RNAcentral describes it as "lncRNA (ENSCPUG00000014607.1)". The record is from RNAcentral. Lineage: Eukaryota; Metazoa; Chordata; Aves; Charadriiformes; Scolopacidae.